Molecule: ribosomal RNA, 461 nt
Filed under: Chaetoceros curvisetus
Lineage: Eukaryota; Bacillariophyta; Thalassiosirophyceae; Chaetocerotales; Chaetocerotaceae
Description: partial Bacterial large subunit ribosomal RNA
Rfam family: Bacterial large subunit ribosomal RNA
Source: RNAcentral
UUGAAGGUGGAUUGAGAAGUCUGCUGGAGGUAUCGGAAGUGCGAAUGCUGACAUGAGUAGCGAUAAAGGGGGUGAAAAGCCCCCUCGCCGUAAGCGCAAGGUUUUCUACGCAACGUUCAUCGGCGUAGAGUGAGUCGGCCCCUAAGGCGAGGCAGAGAUGCGUAGCUGAUGGGAAGCUGGUUAAUAUUCCAGCACCGUCGUACAGUGCGAUGGGGGGACGGAUCGCGGAAGAUCAUCAGGGUGUUGGAUGUCCCUGUUGCUGUAUCGAAGAUGGCGCUUAGGCAAAUCCGGGCGCGUAAAUCAAGGGUAUGGCACGAGCGAGCAUAGCUUGCGAAGUGAUUGGAAGUGGUUCCAAGAAAAGCCUCUAAGCUUCAGCUGUACGAGACCGUACCGCAAACCGACACAGGUGGGCGAGAUGAGUAUUCUAAGGCGCUUGAGAGAACUCGGGAGAAGGAACUCGG